GGCGGAGUGGUCCAGUGGUAAGAUACUCGCCUGGAUUGCCUGUCAUCGUCGUUUGGUUCGACCCUAUAUUUGAAUGACUUGCCAUGAAAGCGAGAGAUUCAGGUUCGAUUCCUGACUACGUCA
RNAcentral lists this transfer RNA (123 nucleotides) under Orchesella cincta. It matches the Rfam family "tRNA". Rfam says of the family: Transfer RNA (tRNA) molecules are approximately 80 nucleotides in length. Their secondary structure includes four short double-helical elements and three loops (D, anti-codon, and T loops). Further hydrogen bonds mediate the characteristic L-shaped molecular structure. tRNAs have two regions of fundamental functional importance: the anti-codon, which is responsible for specific mRNA codon recognition, and the 3' end, to which the tRNAs corresponding amino acid is attached (by aminoacyl-tRNA synthetases). tRNAs cope with the degeneracy of the genetic code in two manners: having more than one tRNA (with a specific anti-codon) for a particular amino acid; and 'wobble' base-pairing, i.e. permitting non-standard base-pairing at the 3rd anti-codon position. The record is from Rfam by way of RNAcentral. Lineage: Eukaryota; Metazoa; Arthropoda; Collembola; Entomobryomorpha; Orchesellidae.